Molecule: ribosomal RNA, 367 nt
Filed under: uncultured bacterium
Lineage: Bacteria
Description: bacterial SSU rRNA
Rfam family: Bacterial small subunit ribosomal RNA
Source: RNAcentral
GGAGGGUGCAAGCGUUAUCCGGAUUCACUGGGUUUAAAGGGUGCGUAGGAGGGUAGGUAAGUCAGUGGUGAAAUCUUCGAGCUUAACUCGGAAACUGCCGUUGAUACUAUCUAUCUUGAAUACCGUGGAGGUGAGCGGAAUAUGUCAUGUAGCGGUGAAAUGCUUAGAUAUGACAUAGAACACCAAUUGCGAAGGCAGCUCGCUACACGAAUAUUGACUCUGAGGCACGAAAGCGUGGGGAUCAAACAGGAUUAGAUACCCUGGUAGUCCACGCCCUAAACGAUGGAUACUCGACAUACGCGAUACACAGUGUGUGUCUGAGCGAAAGCAUUAAGUAUCCCACCUGGGAAGUACGACCGCAAGGUUG